RNAcentral lists this ribosomal RNA (186 nucleotides) under Triticum aestivum (bread wheat). RNAcentral's name for it is "partial small subunit ribosomal RNA". Lineage: Eukaryota; Viridiplantae; Streptophyta; Magnoliopsida; Poales; Poaceae. The record is from RNAcentral.
GGCAAAUGCAAAAUUAACUGGGAGCAAGUUUGUAGGCCAAAACAGUUUGGGGGCCUCAGAAUCCUCAAUCUGAAGAAGUUCGCCACCGCUCUCCGCCUUAGGUGGCUUUGGCUGGAGUGGGAUGACCCGCCAAGAACAUGGUGUGGUUCUGAGAUCCCUUGUGGCAAGGAAGAUCGGGACAUUUUC